Molecule: long non-coding RNA, 1856 nt
Organism: Mesocricetus auratus (golden hamster)
Lineage: Eukaryota; Metazoa; Chordata; Mammalia; Rodentia; Cricetidae
Exons: 2
Source: RefSeq, a predicted model, not a curated record
AACGGAUCUUUUACUCCUCCGUAAUGCCUCACCUACUUGAUUCCUCCUACACUGAAGCCUAGGUUGGCCCUGCAAGGAUUUGGGACAUGGGCACAAAUGAUUACGGGUGUAUAGCAGCAUUCUGAAUGAAGACAAGGUAUUAGGACACUUGAAACAAGAGGAAAACUCUUUCCCAAGGAGAAGGUGGAAACAUGAACCCACAAGUGAAUGUUUUUGGAAGUGUAUCUUGCUUUGAGCAAGAGUUGGGAUUAUGUGUGUAGGGCCUAUCUUGAUUACAAUGUGCAGGCCUUAUUUCCAUCCUUCAAAGUUCAUGAAAGAGUAGGCUGUGUUCUGGCACAAUGUAAUAGUGGCUUUCUGAGCUCACAUUGGCCACACCUAAAUUAUGAAAUGGAGCCAGUAGAGAAAAGGAACUUUCCCAGCCCAGAUAACAACAGAUGUUGGGAAAGGCCGUGAUUUCUGGAGGUGUACAUAAAGCAAAUCAACUAACCAAAAGGGAAGCAUUUCAUUUAAGCAAGCAUCUUGGCUUAAUCAUUACUCUCAGCUGCUUCCUCAUAUGCCAUUCUCUGCUCUCUAGUGGUGAUAGAUGGCUUAGAUAUAGGACGCAUAUCCUGGCAUGGGACUCAAUACCAGUCUCUUCCUCCUUCCUUAUUGAUGUGGUCAUAUCAACAAUUGUUCCCAUACCUUCCUUUUUUCAUUUGUGAAACUUAAGAAAUGAUGUUUAUCUUCUACAGAGACUAUAAAUUAGGUAUGUAUCCAGCACUUAAAAUGAAUCUGUAGCUCAUUUCAAGUCAGGUACUGAUACUGCUUUUCCAUCUCCUAAAUGUUUGUUUUUAUAUCGCAACCCAAGUUCUCAGGAGAUAAUUGAAUAAAGAAAAGAAUGUGUGUUCUGGGAAUUCAAACCACAUGGCUUGCACACGUGUCUAUGUGUGGCAGAGAAAUUGCCGGUGUUUUCUCCAUGGACUGACCACAGCAAAUUCGUCUCCUCCCAUGACUGACUAACUGCAUGAUUUCGUGAAAAAAACUCAACAAAAAAUAUGAAACCACAUUUUCACAACAAAUGGCUGAUAGACUGCAAAGUUCAAAGCUGAAUUCUCUAGAGUGAUGACUAAAUUCCAUACACACUACCCUCUAUAGUUCAUAGGCAGGGAAGCAGGGUAGGUUUUGAGAUAAUGAAAGAUGAUGCAAAUAUAGUUUGAUGCAAAUACCUGGUUUUUGAAUAAACUGCAGCCUAAUGGAGAACAGGAAUGUGUUCAGGGACAGGUCAUUUAAAACAAAUAUGGGAACACUAUUUUACAGAUUCAUAUUUAGAAUGGAGAACUCCCAGCAAGAAGCUGCAUUUUGGCUGUGAAUGAAAGCUCCCUAAAGGAAUCUGUGUCUACAGAGACUGGCUGGCUGAUCAGAAUUGUGAAGAGAUUGGAAUAUUGCCAUUCCAGAGGCUAAUUACGUUAUCUUGAGCUAGGUCUCACCUUCUAGAACAGUCAUUACAUACCAUUACCCAUUUCCCCACCCACCCCACAUGAGAACUAUUAUCUUGUGACAGUAGAUUAAAGCCUUUUGGAAUCUUUUAAUUUAGAAGACCACUAGUUUCUACUAAUCCAAAAGCUAAGAAUAUCAUCAGAUAGCAUUUUGAGCCCAUAAAAUAGAUUUAUCCAUCUCAAUGUACCUGCCUCUGUGACUUACACCUCAACGUUUUUAAACUUGUCUUGAUUUAUGACUUUCUCUGUCCUGUAACAUUACAAAAACUUCAUGAAACUGCCUUCAUGUGGGAACAUGGAAUUUGGGGUAACCUAAAUCUGUGCUCCUUGGCCAUGGUCACUCAAAGUGUCUCCAGAAUAAACCAUCCCUUACUCCACUAA